RNAcentral lists this ribosomal RNA (549 nucleotides) under uncultured Glomeromycotina. RNAcentral describes it as "SSU rRNA". It matches the Rfam family "Eukaryotic small subunit ribosomal RNA", at positions 548 to 1098 of the family's 1831-position model. Lineage: Eukaryota; Fungi; Glomeromycota. The record is from RNAcentral.
UUGGAGGGCAAGUCUGGUGCCAGCAGCCGCGGUAAUUCCAGCUCCAAUAGCGUAUAUUAAAGUUGUUGCAGUUAAAAAGCUCGUAGUUGAAUUUCGGGAUCAGCAGGUUGGUCGUGCCUCUGGUAUGCACUGGUUUCGCUGAUUCCUCCUUUCUGAAGAACUGUAAUGUCAUUAAUUUGGUGUUGCAGGGAAACAGGACUGUUACUUUGAAAAAAUUAGAGUGUUUAAAGCAGGCUAACGCUUGAAUACAUUAGCAUGGAAUAAUGAAAUAGGACGUUUGAUCCUAUUUUGUUGGUUUCUAGGAUUGACGUAAUGAUUAAUAGGGAUAGUUGGGGGCAUUAGUAUUCAAUUGUCAGAGGUGAAAUUCUUGGAUUUAUUGAAGACUAACUACUGCGAAAGCAUUUGCCAAGGAUGUUUUCAUUAAUCAAGAACGAAAGUUAGGGGAUCGAAGACGAUCAGAUACCGUCGUACUCUUAACCAUAAACUAUGCCGACUAGGGAUCGGAUGAUGUUAAUUUUUUAAUGACUCAUUCGGCGCCUUACGGGAAAC